RNAcentral lists this non-coding RNA (26 nucleotides) under Cricetulus griseus (Chinese hamster). The record is from RNAcentral. Lineage: Eukaryota; Metazoa; Chordata; Mammalia; Rodentia; Cricetidae.
UCUUCCUUUUUUAUCUCCUCAUGUAG